GGGGAAUCUUCCGCAAUGGGCGAAAGCCUGACGGAGCAAGACCGCGUGAGGGAGGAAGGCUCUUGGGUUGUAAACCUCUUUUCUCAGGGAAGAACACAAUGACGGUACCUGAGGAAUCAGCCUCGGCUAACUCCGUGCCAGCAGCCGCGGUAAUACGGAGGAGGCAAGCGUUAUCCGGAAUUAUUGGGCGUAAAGCGUCCGCAGGUGGCUCGCUCAAGUCUGCUGUCAAAGACAGGGGCUUAACUCCGGAAAGGCAGUGGAAACUGACAAGCUAGAGGGCUCUAGGGGUAGAGGGAAUUCCCGGUGUAGCGGUGAAAUGCGUAGAGAUCGGGAAGAACAUCGGUGGCGAAAGCGCUCUACUGGAGAGCAACUGACACUCAGGGACGAAAGCUAGGGGAGCGAAAGGGAUUAGAUACCCCU
This 420-nucleotide ribosomal RNA is filed under the name uncultured Microcoleus sp. RNAcentral describes it as "bacterial SSU rRNA". It matches the Rfam family "Bacterial small subunit ribosomal RNA", at positions 356 to 789 of the family's 1533-position model. The record is from RNAcentral. Lineage: Bacteria; Bacillati; Cyanobacteriota; Cyanophyceae; Oscillatoriales; Microcoleaceae.